This 253-nucleotide ribosomal RNA is filed under the name uncultured bacterium. Its description in RNAcentral is "partial 16S ribosomal RNA". It matches the Rfam family "Bacterial small subunit ribosomal RNA", at positions 524 to 776 of the family's 1533-position model. The record is from RNAcentral.
UACGUAGGCAGCAAGCGUUGUUCGGAAUUACUGGGCGUAAAGCGUGUUCAGGCGGUCUAGCAAGUCGGGCAUGAAAUCUCUCGGCUCAACCGGGAGGGGUUGUCCGAUACUGCUGGGCUUGAGGGCAGCAGAGGGUGGUGGAAUUCCGGGUGUAGUGGUGAAAUGCGUAGAUAUCCGGAGGAACACCAGUGGCGAAGGCGGCCACCUGGGCUGUACCUGACGCUCAAACACGAAAGCUAGGGGAGCGAACGGG